This 148-nucleotide small RNA is filed under the name Macaca fascicularis (crab-eating macaque). RNAcentral describes it as "Metazoan signal recognition particle RNA (ENSMFAG00000047659.1)". The record is from Rfam by way of RNAcentral. Lineage: Eukaryota; Metazoa; Chordata; Mammalia; Primates; Cercopithecidae.
GCUAGGAGUGGUGGCGCACACCUGUAAUCCCAGCUACUCAGGAGGCUGAGGUAGGAGAAUCGCUCGAACCCAGGAGGUUGAGGUUGCAGUGAGCUGAGAUCAUGCCACUGCACUCCAGCCUGGGAGACAGAACGAGACUCUGUCUCAA